CCUACGGGAGGCAGCAGUGAGGAAUAUUGGUCAAUGGACGAGAGUCUGAACCAGCCAAGUAGCGUGAAGGAUGACGGCUCUAUGGAUUGUAAACUUCUUUUAUAUGGGAAUAAAAUGUGCCACGUGUGGGGUUUUGUAUGUACCAUAUGAAUAAGGAUCGGCUAACUCCGUGCCAGCAGCCGCGGUAAUACGGAGGAUCCGAGUGUUAUCCGGAUUUAUUGGGUUUAAAGGGAGCGUAGGUGGUUUGUUAAGUCAGCUGUGAAAGUUUGCGGCUCAACCGUAAAAUUGCCGUUGAAACUGGCAGUCUUGAGUACAGUUGAGGUGGGCGGAAUUCGUGGUGUAGCGGUGAAAUGCUUAGAUAUCACGCAGAACUCCGAUUGCGAAGGCAGCUCACUGGACUGUAACUGACACUGAGGCUCGAAAGUGUGGGUAUCAAACAGGAUUAGAUACCCCUGUAGUC
RNAcentral lists this ribosomal RNA (460 nucleotides) under uncultured bacterium. RNAcentral describes it as "partial 16S ribosomal RNA". It matches the Rfam family "Bacterial small subunit ribosomal RNA", at positions 338 to 795 of the family's 1533-position model. The record is from RNAcentral.